Physella acuta is the source of this 3539-nucleotide RNA transcript. It is a transcript of the gene named IQ motif and ankyrin repeat domain-containing protein 1, with no coding region annotated. Lineage: Eukaryota; Metazoa; Mollusca; Gastropoda; Physidae. The record is from RefSeq and is a predicted model, not a curated record.
CCUAUAGCAACAGCUGAAGAGAGAAAAAGUGUUGUAACUUCAAGAUUGCUCUUGAUAGUGCAAAAUUGGCAGUGUGGAUAAGGACCUUAUAAAAUCCAAUGUUUGCAUCUAUAAUUUAAAUUUUUAAUACAAAUUUGAUAGGCAUUCUUAACUGCUGAUUUAAAAAAAAUAUUAAAGGUACCGAUUACAACGUCAAAUUUGUUGGCACUGACACACAUAAGUAAAAUUAUUUAAAUUAGUUGCUUAAGCAUUUGACUACACCUAGGUAUAGAUCUUUACUUAGUUAUAUACUACAGUGUGGAAAUGCCGAUGCCACCCAAACCUGCUGCUAAAAAACCAGCGCCAGUAAAGCCUAAAGGAAAACUUUCUCCCGACAAUUCUAAAAAGCAGAAACCCAAAGGAUCACCUGAAAAUGAAGCUCAGAAGGAAAGAGAAAUCCAAGCCGCUAUACAAAUUCAGACUACAUUCCGCAAGUUUAUGGCAAAGAAAGAAUUAGAGAAAAGAAAGGUUGAGAAAUUUCAGUAUGCAGAACAAAUGGACAAAAUAGAACGUGAGGCUUAUUUGUACAUGGUUAAACUAGAUCAAGAACAGAACGAAAGAAAAAGAUUAAAAGAAGAAGAGGAAAAGAAAAUAAAACUUGAGGAAACCAAAAGAAAAAAACGGAUGUUGGAAGCUGCCUAUGAUGGGGACGUGGGUGUUAUGAAACAAAUUUUAAAAGAGGUUGAAGAUGCUGACAAUGCAGCAGGGAUUGCUCAAGAUGUUGUUGGUAAAUGUAUUCGUGCAAAGCAUCAGCUGCAGCUUGUUGAGUGUGAAGAUGCUAAUGCCAACACUGCACUAUCUGAAGCAGCAAAUGGUGGUCAUGCAGCAGCCAUUAAAUUCUUACUGGAUCAAGGCGCAGACCCAAAUACCGUGGGUCAGUUCAACAGGACUCCACUCUACAGAGCUGCCUUUGGUGGCCAUCUUGAAGCUGUGUUGGUGUUGUUAGAUCAUGGAGCAGACCCUAGGAUUCAUGCAACAGACAAUCAAAAUCCUACAGAGAUAGCAUCCACUCCUGCAGUAAAGGAUGUCUUAGAAAAGUGGAAUAUAGAACGUACUGAAGCGCUGCUUAAAUCCUUACAAGCUGUGAAAGAUCAAAGAAUGAAAGCUGAACAGUUGAAAAAUGAAGCUGAGAAAAAUAGACUGGAAAAAGUUCUUGAAGAGGCAGAAAAAGCUUAUGAUGCUAAAGUAAAACAGCUACAACAUGCAUACUGUGAAUUGAACAAGCGAAUUCAUGAACAUGAUAAAUGUCAAGCAGAAGGUUUUGCCAAACCAGAAAUCACAUUGCAGGCUAUUCAUGAUCAGGAGUUAGAAGUUGAAACUAUUAAAACUGAACUAGAAACUGCAAAAAAUAAUUUGUCCAAAGCAAGACUAGCACUUAGGGAGUCAAAGAAAAGAUGUGAUGACGAUGAUGAGGAUGAUCUCCCUGGAAUUAAAGUGAUUGUAAAAGAGCUGGAUGACGUAUUAUUUCGAGAUGUUGGUAACAGACUCAAGCAAUCUGGAAAGUGGCCAUUUAUUAUUGACCUGAUGGGGCAAGCAACCACUUUCUUGCGUUACAGAGACACAAAUUACAUCUGCACCCUUAGGCCUUCAGACAUGGAGAUAAACAAUAUUAGAAGGUGCCUGCUGGGAGCCAUUAGAUAUGGGAAGCCAUUUGUUUUAGACAUGAUGGAAGUGGACAUGUUUGACACAUGUGUUGACAAGUUUGAUGAGGUGUCCAAAGGUUUGAUGGCCAGCAUCAUGGACAAGUCCAUUCUAAAUGAAGAAAAGUACAGCAAGCUGAUAAAACCCACUGAUGGGCCUGAUUAUGAGAAAACAAAGUUCAAUGACCUGCGGAUCUCAAACUUUCUUUUUAUACUAGUGACCAAAAACCCUUUCCCAAGUGUUAAGCUGCUGGAAGCAAUGUAUGUGAUCAGGGUAGUUGUUCCAGUAUAAUACAUGUAAAACUGUUGUAAAUAUUUGUAAAAAUGUGUAUACACUUACAAAAUUUAUAUUAUUAUAAGAAUAUUUACACAAUUUAUAGAAAUGAAAUGCAGCAUAUUUUGUUUGUUUUCCCUGAUUUGCAACAAAAAAAAUAUCUUUUUUUGUUUUUUGAGUUGUUUUAUAAACAUCAUCUUAGAUAAAUUGUGUCACUACAUUAGAUUUUCUGUAUGUAGGUGAUCAAAGUUAAUUUAUUGAUUUUAAUUUAAUUUAAGCAUGUAAGUUUUAUUUAUGGUAUAAAGAUAAUUCAAUUAGAGUAAAAGAAUGUAAACUGUGACCAACUCCAGUAUAGCUCUGCUAUUGCUACACUGUGUCAACAGCAUUAACCAAUCAUCUGAAAGUUUGUCAUCACAGUUUAUAAAAAAAUUUAGUAAAAGAAUGUAGGUAGUUUAAAUAGUAUAAAUAAUUAAAUUUACCAGUGGCAUGGCUAAACAUUUUGAUUUAUUUUACUCACAUAUUUAAAUUUUUAGAAAAAAAUUAUUUUUUUCUAGAUUUGCAUUGGUUUCAUUUAGAUGAUAUGUGUGCAGUUUUUAUUACCUAAUCAGCAUUGAACAUUGUCUGCCUUCUUAACAUUAUUACCUACUGUAAAGUACUAAAAUUAAAACACAUGAGCAAGUCUUCAACCAUUGCUAUUUAGUAGUUUUAUUUUUUUAAUUGACAUAAAAAACUACAUGUAUAAGUUUUUAAAUCACAGUCAACCAUUCAAGUUACUCACAACAUAAACAAAGUCAUGGUAAAACAAUGGGGGUGAUGAGUGAGCAGCUAAAACACAAUUCAUUAAUCAAAAACACAAGUGAAUAAAAGAAUGUACAUUAGCUGUGAUACUUUAAAAUUAUCUUAAUUCAUUGAUCAGAAACUUCAGUGAAUAAAAGAAUGUACAUUAGAUGUGAAGCUUUAAAAUUCUCUUAAUUCAUUGAUCAGAAACUUAUUUGAAUAAAAGAAUGUACAUUAGGUGUGAAGCUUUAAAACUCAGCUGAACAGCAUUCGUGUCUUUAAAAACCUUGUAACACAUCAAAUAUUACAGGCCAAUUUGUUUUAAAAAAACUGAGUGUUUCAUGGAUAAAUUAUUUUAAAUGUUAAAUAUUUCUAGAUUAAAGUUGGGCAGUAAUUAGUAGCUUUAAUUUAAUUCAACUAUUUUUUACACUCUUGCAUGAGUUAAAACAUUUUAAAAUAAUAAACUUUUUAUAACAUAUUUAAAAUCCUGCACCAAGUAAAACCAUUAAAAAAUAAAAUUUAGCUCCAACUAUUCUUUAUGAUAGGUAUUGCACAAAAUGAAUAAAACUUGCUAAUCAAUUAUACUCUUCAUGCAAACAAUGCAGUCACUAACUGAUAAGAAAAAUAUUUUCAAUUACUCUUUUGAAAUAUUAUAAAUAUCAAAAGCACAGCAAUAAAGCUGUAUUUAUAUAUCAAUGAAUAUGCUAUACAUACAACUAAUCAGGGCAACUCUGAAGUUGACACUGGUACAAUCAGAGCUAUAUGGUUAUAGCAGAUAAGAAAGUCUAGACACAGUUAUCUACAUUUCA